Long non-coding RNA from Ictalurus punctatus (channel catfish), 1068 nucleotides. Lineage: Eukaryota; Metazoa; Chordata; Actinopteri; Siluriformes; Ictaluridae. The record is from Ensembl.
UGUAUAUAUCACACUGUGCUGAGUUUAGUCAGAAGGCUGGUGAUGUGCAGAAAAUAAUGCAAAGAUUUCUGUGGACUUUAUCCCUUUUCCAAGUAUCGAGACAGAAUAAAAGUCCUGAAGCUACAGAGCAAUCCGAUGCCUCCACAAUGACAACAGCUACUGCAGCUCCUACUGUGUCCACUCGUGAUCCAGUGUCGAGGCAGAAUCAAAGCCCUCACAGUGAUAUCAAGUACUGCAUGUAGGACAUAAACGCAUAUUGCUGCACUCCAACUAGUAAACUCCUUAUUAUGUUUCUGUUAACCAAUUAGAAACAUCAGCAAAGGAAUAGUUGGAUAAAUAAUUAGAUGCAAAUUCAAUCAUUGUAUGGAAUAUUUAGAUCCUUUUCUUAAAAAAGAGGGAGUGCACAAGAAUUUCUUAUAAAAUGUUCAAUGUAGAUAUUUAUUUCUUAAUACUACUUCAUAUGAAAAGGUGUCACCCACAACUCAAACUAAACAUUCGUUAUCCCCAAAUGUUUUUCUUUAUUGAUCGCUCUGUUCUGUUUCUUAUUUUCCAGUAUUGACUAAUCACUUGCAUUUAAAUAAUAUUCUUAAUUGCCUGCUUAGUAAUCAAAGUGGGUUCUUGAAUAAAGAAAUUAUUAACAUUUAAAAUGCUUAACAUUACCUGUGUUGUUCUUAACUGAAAGCCUGUGUUCACUUACUGAAAAAUGCUUCUAAUGUUUCCUAAAUUGUGAGUAAAUUUUCCGGGAUUAGAUUUACAGAAAGUGACUGAACUGUGAGAAGCUCCAUGGUGAAAUGAUGUGUUCACCUUGAACAAAAGACCAGAGUUUAUUCUGGUCAGGAUCACAGCAAACUGGAACACUGGGAGCAAGGCUGGAAUACAUCCUGGAUGAGAUGCUAGUCCACACACGCGCGCACACACACACUCACACUCACUCUUGACUGCUGCCUAUAGCUUAUUCUGUCUUGCUCACAUAUUUAAACUGUUAGCUCAUAACAUUGUUCCAGUUCUCAAAACAACUAGCUGAAAGUGAGAUCAGACCUGUGGUGUGUUACGGGAACAGAAACAGAG